AUGCGCGCCAUCCUCCUUGGGGCUCCAAUCUGUGAGUAUGUUGGUGUGUUGCCGAGGACUGGAGAGAAAAGGUCAGGGUCUGAUAUGCAUAUGCCAUCACUUCACGUCGAGAGCAAUUCCGAGGCACCACCGGCACUGGAGUACUGCACCGAUGCUGGAUCCGUUGGAAGUUUCGCAAGGUUCAUAAACCACGGCUGCAACCCUAACCUCUUCACCUACGCAGAUGACAUGCUGGACAUGCUAAUUAUAGUAGCACCUAACAUCGACAGCUGCAAUGUCAGGAACUCCCUCGCAAUUGCCGAAUAUGUCGCUGAAAUUUACAACUUCUACAGAGAGACCAAGGAGUUGAGUUGUGAGGCCCCCACCUACAUGACACACCAAACUGAUAUCAAUGAGAAAAGGCAUAGUAUUCCCAUUGACUGGUUGAUUGAGCUAAGUGCAGUACAAGCUUGA
Molecule: ribosomal RNA, 453 nt
Filed under: Triticum aestivum (bread wheat)
Lineage: Eukaryota; Viridiplantae; Streptophyta; Magnoliopsida; Poales; Poaceae
Description: partial small subunit ribosomal RNA
Source: RNAcentral